This is a long non-coding RNA of Asparagus officinalis (garden asparagus), 216 nucleotides long. RefSeq lists it as uncharacterized. The record is from RefSeq and is a predicted model, not a curated record. Lineage: Eukaryota; Viridiplantae; Streptophyta; Magnoliopsida; Asparagales; Asparagaceae. The transcript is spliced from 3 exons.
GAAAGAUGCAACAAAAAUUAAUAUUCUUGCAAUAACAACUAAUGUUAAGCCGGCGAUCAACUAUAUUACAAGACACAACAAACCAGACACUAGGAGGGAAAUCACGCUUAUGGAUAUGAGUGGAAUGCCAAUGCGUGCAACUUUAUUUGGAGAUUUAGCUACAAAUGAAGGAUCAAUUCUUGAAGCAGAAAUCAAAUAUAAGCCUGUAAUAGCAUU